GACAAGGUGGUGGAGUGGUCUAACAUGUUUGGCUUGAAUUCCAUCUGGAAGCCUUGGGGAUGAGAAAACUCGUCCUGGGAUCUCUACAAGAUUUACCAAAAGCCCCUUCGGGUACCCAGGUUCGAAUCCCCUGGCCCUGUCG
This is a non-coding RNA of Monascus purpureus, 142 nucleotides long. Lineage: Eukaryota; Fungi; Ascomycota; Eurotiomycetes; Eurotiales; Aspergillaceae. The record is from the annotation of a GenBank genome assembly.